Molecule: transfer RNA, 77 nt
Filed under: Candidatus Aphodomorpha intestinavium
Lineage: Bacteria; Bacillati; Bacillota; Clostridia; Eubacteriales
Description: tRNA-Arg
Rfam family: tRNA
About the family: Transfer RNA (tRNA) molecules are approximately 80 nucleotides in length. Their secondary structure includes four short double-helical elements and three loops (D, anti-codon, and T loops).
Source: RNAcentral
GCGCCUGUAGCUCAGCUGGAUAGAGCAACGGCCUUCUAAGCCGUAGGUCCCGGGUUCGAAUCCCUGCGGGCGCGCCA